GGUAAUGCCGGAUGCUCCAUCACACCGCAUGGUGUGUUGGGAAAGCCUUUGCGGCAUGGGAUGGGGUCGCGUCCUAUCAGCUUGAUGGCGGGGUAACGGCCCACCAUGGCUUCGACGGGUAGCCGGCCUGAGAGGGCGACCGGCCACAUUGGGACUGAGAUACGGCCCAGACUCCUACGGGAGGCAGCAGUGGGGAAUAUUGCACAAUGGGCGCAAGCCUGAUGCAGCGACGCCGCGUGAGGGAUGGAGGCCUUCGGGUUGUAAACCUCUUUUGUUAGGGAGCAAGGCAUUUUGUGUUGAGUGUACCUUUCGAAUAAGCACCGGCUAACUACGUGCCAGCAGCCGCGGUAAUACGUAGGGUGCAAGCGUUAUCCGGAAUUAUUGGGCGUAAAGGGCUCGUAGGCGGUUCGUCGCGUCCGGUGUGAAAGUCCAUCGCUUAACGGUGGAUCCGCGCCGGGUACGGGCGGGCUUGAGUGCGGUAGGGGAGACUGGAAUUCCCGGUGUAACGGUGGAAUGUGUAGAUAUCGGAAAAAAAACA
This 538-nucleotide ribosomal RNA is filed under the name Bifidobacterium breve. RNAcentral describes it as "bacterial SSU rRNA". It matches the Rfam family "Bacterial small subunit ribosomal RNA", at positions 162 to 710 of the family's 1533-position model. The record is from RNAcentral. Lineage: Bacteria; Bacillati; Actinomycetota; Actinomycetes; Bifidobacteriales; Bifidobacteriaceae.